UCUACAGCUACUGGAGAAACAUGAAUUUCUUGCAAAGUUUUUUUGUAUUGAUCAUCGCAGUUAUUCUCGCUGCUCAAGCUCGAGGGAGAGACGUGGAAGUGAUUGGGGCGAGGGGGAACUCUGAUGGUGACCGCGUAAGCUACGUGUACGAGAAGGACCGUAAUGGCGAGGGAGGCUUCAUUAAAUACAGAACUCCUUAUGAACGAGCUGAAGGAGUGAUAAGAAUCGAAGAAUGAGAGAGCUCCUCAGUAAUGCAUCUCACAAAUAGAAAAUCUGGCACCGCAAUAUGAUUCGAGUAAGACAAUAAUCAAUUACUGAAAUUACUGUGGGAUCCAUUAAAUAAGAAUAAUAAAUAAGAAUAAGAAUAAUUUAUAACAAGAAUAGUGAGUACUUGCCACAUGUGUUUGUUCUUAUCCCUGACCCAAAAUGAGGAAAAAAUAGAUACAGAGGAACCCGAGUGGAAAUUCUGUUCAGGUCUCGAUCAGAAACUGAUCAAGUCCAAUCCGAAAUUCUGAUCAGGCAUGUUACGCCUCUGCCUUGUUUUUCCACUAGGGUUAGUGAUGCUUUCCGUCAUGACAGCUUUGUCAAAUUUUAUCGAUUAAUAAUUUCAUUUUUAUAUUGUAUGUAGACUGUAGUUUGAUCCUGUAA
This is a long non-coding RNA of Diachasma alloeum, 648 nucleotides long. RefSeq lists it as uncharacterized. The record is from RefSeq and is a predicted model, not a curated record. Lineage: Eukaryota; Metazoa; Arthropoda; Insecta; Hymenoptera; Braconidae. The transcript has 3 exons.